Molecule: non-coding RNA, 789 nt
Organism: Pelobates cultripes (western spadefoot toad)
Lineage: Eukaryota; Metazoa; Chordata; Amphibia; Anura; Pelobatidae
Source: the annotation of a GenBank genome assembly
AGACAGAAGGUCACUGGCAGUGCAAAGUGGCUGAGAUGGGUUGUACCUAUGAAUUGUAGAAUUGAUUUUAUAAAUUAACAAGGGGGUAGAGUUGUUGAGAGAUUUGAAGGUAAGAGUUAAUCUUUUUUAUUGAAUCCUGUAGGGUACAAGAAGCCAAUGUAAUGACUGACAGAGGAGUUAAAUGUGAGAAGAGAAGCGGGAGAGAAAAAUCUGACUGGCAGCAGCAGUCAUUAUGGACUGCUGUAUGGAGGCAGUAUGGUUUCUGGAGUAGUCAGUGCGAGAAAUCACAAGAGCAUGAGCCAACUUCUUAGUAGCAUCUUAAAAUGAUUAUAUUGAGGGAGGAGAAGAAGCACAGUGUGAGUUUUAGAAAGCACAAGGACUUCCAGUCGGAGACAGAAGAGAGGCAACUGGAGAUUCACUCUAAGACAGCAGGAGAGAGAUCAUUGGAGCAGAGGAAUAUUAGGGGAAGAGAGGAUUAUCUGGGUGUCAUCAGCAUAUUGGUGGUAGUGAAACCCAAAAGAAUGGUAAAGCUUGCCAAAAAGAGGCAGAAGGGGACUGAGGACUGAGCCUUGGGGGGCUCCAACUUAGUCAGGAUGGGGGAAGAGGUGUUACCAGAUAGAGACAAUGAAAGAUUGUUCAUAGAGGUAUGAGGAGAACCACUGAAUGACAAUGUAAUGUAACAAAGGUCAAGGGUGUACAGAGUUUGGAGAAGGAGAGCGAGGUCUAGAAGAAUUAGUAUGUAGUAGUGGCCUUUGGAUACAGCCGUGAUUAGAUCAUUAGUUAGUUUAG